UAAAAUUUAUUGCUUACCCUCCAAAGUCCCAAAUAUUAUUGAACGUAACAACUUUCCCCCAAAAAGGCCAAAAACAGCAGCACAAAUGGUCCCCAGCCUUUACACUUGCAUAUGUGGAAAUGUCAAAAAUGUGUAACUGUUCAACAAGAAAGAAAAAGAGUUCAACAUUUUGGCCGGGGUUGAGUCCAUUUCCUAUAGGAUCUCACCCGCUUGAUAAAGGAUCUGUAAGCUACAAUAUGUUGAAUUGUUGUUAAAUUUAAUAAUGUCUUUCAGCUACAACUUAGACCUCGUUUUAUUAGUAAAAAGUAGUUAUCCAACCCUAUAUUUGGUGCUAAAAUAUGACUAGGGUUUCAUAUAAAAAAUUUAAGAGAUCAUUUCGUAACUUCGUUAUUUCUUUCUUGUAGGAUAACUAAUUACGAAAAGGAGGGAACGAUGAUAAUCGUACUACUACCUCAUAUCAAAUGUACCUUUCCAAUAUAAUGCAUUUCAAUUCUACCUCACCCCUCUCUCUCUCUCUCUCUCUCUCUCUCUCUCUCUCUCUCUCACAUGGGCCAUAUAGUCAAUUGGCACUAGGAUGUGAUAUCCGUCCAUCCCA
RNAcentral lists this long non-coding RNA (595 nucleotides) under Malus domestica (apple). RNAcentral's name for it is "long non-coding RNA (MDOM_LNC000900)". Lineage: Eukaryota; Viridiplantae; Streptophyta; Magnoliopsida; Rosales; Rosaceae. The record is from RNAcentral.